GAAAUGCGAUAAGUAGUGUGAAUUGCAGAAUUCAGUGAAUCAUCGAAUCUUUGAACGCACAUUGCGCCCUUUGGCAUUCCGAAGGGCAUACCUGUUCGAGCGUCAGUUGCACCCUCAAGCUCUGCUUGGUGUUGGGUGUUUGUCCCGUCUCCGCGCGUGGACUCGCCCCAAAGUGAUUGGCAGCCGGCGUACUGGUCCCGGAGCGCAGCACAUGUCGCGCAAACGAGUGCCUUGGUACGGCGGCGUCCAUAAGCCCCUCUCUCACGCUCUUGACCUCGGAUCAGGUAGGGAUACCCGCUGAACUUAAGC
RNAcentral lists this unclassified non-coding RNA (309 nucleotides) under plant metagenome. Its description in RNAcentral is "partial contains 5.8S ribosomal RNA, internal transcribed spacer 2, and large subunit ribosomal RNA". The stretch from base 1 to 105 matches the Rfam family "5.8S ribosomal RNA", at positions 50 to 154 of the family's 154-position model. The record is from RNAcentral.